RNAcentral lists this ribosomal RNA (253 nucleotides) under uncultured bacterium. Its description in RNAcentral is "partial 16S ribosomal RNA". It matches the Rfam family "Bacterial small subunit ribosomal RNA", at positions 524 to 776 of the family's 1533-position model. The record is from RNAcentral.
UACGUAGGGUGCAAGCGUUGUCCGGAAUUAUUGGGCGUAAAGAGCUCGUAGGCGGUCUGUCGCGUCGGCUGUGAAAACCCGGGGCUCAACCCCGGGCCUGCAGUCGAUACGGGCAGACUAGAGUGCGGUAGGGGAGACUGGAAUUCCUGGUGUAGCGGUGAAAUGCGCAGAUAUCAGGAGGAACACCGAUGGCGAAGGCAGUGGGCUGGGCCGGCACUGACGCUGAGGAGCGAAAGCGUGGGGAGCGAACAGG